Molecule: non-coding RNA, 311 nt
Organism: Arachis ipaensis
Lineage: Eukaryota; Viridiplantae; Streptophyta; Magnoliopsida; Fabales; Fabaceae
Source: RefSeq, a predicted model, not a curated record
AGCUGCUGUUGGGCCACCGGAGCUUCUGGCCGCUCACGGAUCUUUUGUCGGGGCAAUUCGAAGUCGUAGCUGCUUCGCUUGUUAGUAUAGUUUGAGUUCCGGUGAUUUCGUGUCGCAUAAGUGUUGCGGAGGCUGCCGUGUCAUUCCUUUUAUUUCAGAAGUAAUAGCUGAGCUUAUACGUGCCGCUGAGGCUAUUUCUUAUAUUGAGAAAAACACGCGGAGUCAGGAUUUUGAUUGUGAUUUCGAGCUGAGGCGAAAAGGUCUCUGAGAGAUGUUUGGGUUAUGCAAUUUGCGUUUUGAGGUAGGGGCGC